Molecule: long non-coding RNA, 1253 nt
Organism: Macaca fascicularis (crab-eating macaque)
Lineage: Eukaryota; Metazoa; Chordata; Mammalia; Primates; Cercopithecidae
Source: Ensembl
UUUUUUUUUUUUUUUUCUGAGACGGAGUCUCUCUGUUGCCCAGGCCAGAGUGCAGUGGCAUGAUCUCAGCUCACUGCAACCUCCACCUACCGGGUUCAAGUGAUUCUCCUGCCUCAACCUCCUGAGUAGCUAGGAUUACAGACACUCGCCACCACGCCCAGUGCAGGGAUUACAGGCAUGAGCCACCAUGCCCAGCCUAUUUUAUAUAUUUAACAAAACUUACAUAGCAGUUUCUAAGUACCAGGCCCUAUUCAAAGCAGUUCAUACAUAUUAACUCAUUUACUCUUCCUAACUACGCUAUGCUAUAGUAUGAACCUGACCUCCCCGUUUUACAGAUGAGAAAACUGAGGUGAAGGGAAAUUAAGCAAAUUGUCCAAGACGACCCAGCUAGUAAGAGGAGAACACAGGAUUCACAUUCAGCAGUCUGGAGCCACAACCUACACUCUUCGAUUAGCUCACUCACAGGGCUGCCUUAUAGAUUCAAGCUUACAUUUAUUAGCUACCUUAGUCUCUCCUAUCAAGGUGCACAGCAAAUGUGGCUUCUCAGCCUUCAUUCCAUGUUAACCUUAUAUUGUUUGCAUCACCCUUGAACACUGAGACCAAGGAUCUCACCACUUGCUUGUUCUAUUUUCCUUCCAUCACCCAGAAUGGCAAACAUUCAAACAUUUCCACUCCCAAAACAUGCAGCAACACCAGAAUGUUUAUCCAGAAAUUCAAAAGGAGCUCUAGUGAGGCUGGCAUGAACAUACUCUAACACAAUGUUUUCAAAUAUCGUGGCUCAACAAUGAUCAGUGCUAAGGUUACUGCGAACGACAUCUAAGGCCUGAAAUUGCUCUCUGCUGUAACCCAGCACUGAAGGUGACUGUGGCCUUUGCAUGUUGGCUUUGAAAGGUCCCAAGUCUGUCUACUUGGAAAUAAAUUAAAAUGUUGUCUAUAUUUAACAGGUACCCCAGGCCUUACUAAGCAAUCUAAAAAACAUACUCUAGAAGCAUGCUGCAAAGGCUCCCUUCCUGACCACUUUGCAGAAGAGAAACUAACCUUGCAACAGCAAGUCAGGACCCUCCCCCACUACCACCCUCCAGAAAACAAAAAUCUCAAAAGUUUUAGUAUAGUCGGGUCCGUAAGCAAGAGUAAGGAAGUAAUAAGCCAAGCCGCACAUUGGAAAACUUGAUCCUUUUACGAAAGGAUGAACAGGCUCACUGAUUCAGGUGGGAAAGAAGCCCAAGUACUGAGAGGUACAGCUGCUGAAGACC